Molecule: ribosomal RNA, 497 nt
Filed under: uncultured bacterium
Lineage: Bacteria
Description: partial 16S ribosomal RNA
Rfam family: Bacterial small subunit ribosomal RNA
Source: RNAcentral
GAUGAACGCUGGCGGCGUGCCUAAUACAUGCCAGUCGAGCGAACGGACGAGAAGCUUGCUUCUCUGAUGUUAGCGGCGGACGGGUGAGUAACGCGUGGAUAACCUACCUAUAAGACUGGGAUAACUUCGGGAAACCGGAGCUAAUACCGGAUGAUAUUUUGAACCGCAUGGUUCAAAAGUGAAAGACGGUCUUGCUGUCACUUAUAGAUGGAUCCGCGCUGCAUUAGCUAGUUGGUAAGGUAACGGCUUACCAAGGCAACGAUGCAUAGCCGACCUGAGAGGGUGAUCGGCCACACUGGAACUGAGACACGGUCCAGACUCCUACGGGAGGCAGCAGUAGGGAAUCUUCCGCAAUGGGCGAAAGCCUGACGGAGCAACGCCGCGUGAGUGAUGAAGGUCUUCGGAUCGUAAAACUCUGUUAUUAGGGAAGAACAUAUGUGUAAGUAACUGUGCACAUCUUGACGGUACCUAAUCAGAAAGCCACGGCUAACUACGUG